This 499-nucleotide ribosomal RNA is filed under the name uncultured Glomeromycotina. RNAcentral's name for it is "partial small subunit ribosomal RNA". It matches the Rfam family "Eukaryotic small subunit ribosomal RNA", at positions 591 to 1092 of the family's 1831-position model. Lineage: Eukaryota; Fungi; Glomeromycota. The record is from RNAcentral.
CCAAUAGCGUAUAUUAAAGUUGUUGCAGUUAAAAAGCUCGUAGUUGAAUUUCGGGAUCAGUACGCCGGUCGUGCCUCCGGUAUGUACUGGUGUCACUGAUUCCUCCCUUCUGAAGAACCAUCAUGCCAUUCACUUGGUGUGGUGGGGAAUCAGGACUGUUACUUUGAAAAAAUUAGAGUGUUUAAAGCAGGCUCACGCUUGAAUACAUUAGCAUGGAAUAAUGAAAUAGGACGUUGAUCCUAUUUUGUUGGUUUCUAGGAUUGACGUAAUGAUUAAUAGGGAUAGUUGGGGGCAUUAGUAUUCAAUUGUCAGAGGUGAAAUUCUUGGAUUUAUUGAAGACUAACUACUGCGAAAGCAUUUGCCAAGGAUGUUUUCAUUAAUCAAGAACGAAAGUUAGGGGAUCGAAGACGAUCAGAUACCGUCGUAGUCUUAACCAUAAACUAUGCCGACUAGGGAUCGGAUGAUGUUAAUUUUUUAAUGACUCAUUCGGCGCCUUACG